This 21-nucleotide non-coding RNA is filed under the name Caenorhabditis elegans. The record is from RNAcentral. Lineage: Eukaryota; Metazoa; Nematoda; Chromadorea; Rhabditida; Rhabditidae.
UCUUCCUCUACGUUUGUAAAG